RNAcentral lists this long non-coding RNA (487 nucleotides) under Nicotiana tabacum (common tobacco). RNAcentral describes it as "long non-coding RNA (NTAB_LNC006104)". The record is from RNAcentral. Lineage: Eukaryota; Viridiplantae; Streptophyta; Magnoliopsida; Solanales; Solanaceae.
CAUCCUCAUUCUCCAGGUGGACGCCUGAUUUCUUCUAAUUCUUUGUCCUCAUUCUCCAGGUGGACGCCUGACUUCUUUAAUUCUUUACCAGGUAUUUCCUGACACAAAUAUUGUAUUUGCCCCUGUUUUAAAUCAAAGAAAACUUCGUUAGUUUAAAGCAGGGUGGCUGGCUGUGGUAUUUUUGCCGAUGGUGAUGUUUCUCUUCGUCUCUCUUUAUUGCCUUGGAAUGAUUGAAAAGACUGUUUUGUCUUUGUAAUUGAUCCUUGACUAUAGGAUUCCCUUCUGUGUGUUUUCCUUCAAAAUCUUUCAACUGUAAUCAUGUGCCUCUUUUGACUUUGCUGAUCCUCUUUUGAUUUCAUCUUUCUUGCACCCGUACUUUUAUCUCCCACCUUUCGUGGCUGUAUUUUGUAACCUUGAAUCUUGGUAGUAUACCUUGACAUUCUUUCUUAUUUGUUUGGAAUAAAACUUAUCUCAAAGCUUGGAAAAA